This 263-nucleotide long non-coding RNA is filed under the name Panax ginseng (ginseng). RNAcentral's name for it is "long non-coding RNA (PGIN_LNC006606)". The record is from RNAcentral. Lineage: Eukaryota; Viridiplantae; Streptophyta; Magnoliopsida; Apiales; Araliaceae.
UCAUUUGUUAUGUUAGUUGGGCAUUUUUAUUAAGGGUCUUAAGGAACAUUAAUUAGACAUGACAUGUGUUAAAUUUUGAGGAUGACAUGUGUCAAGCUAUUGUGUCAUGUACUGUGUUUUAGUAUAAUUAAUAGAUUUGUAGUGAUUUAGGGGAUUAUAAAUUCAAAAUAUUAAAUUUGGGAUUAAAAAAGUAGUGAUUUUAAGAGAUAAUAAUUAAAUUAGUAAUGAUAAUAUUAAAACAGUUAACAUUAUCAAAACAGUUU